This 484-nucleotide ribosomal RNA is filed under the name uncultured bacterium. RNAcentral describes it as "partial 16S ribosomal RNA". It matches the Rfam family "Bacterial small subunit ribosomal RNA", at positions 30 to 507 of the family's 1533-position model. The record is from RNAcentral.
AUUGAACGCUGGCGGCAGGCCUAACACAUGCAAGUCGAGCGGAUGAAGGGAGCUUGCUCCUGGAUUCAGCGGCGGACGGGUGAGUAAUGCCUAGGAAUCUGCCUGGUAGUGGGGGAUAACGUCCGGAAACGGGCGGUAAUACCGCAUACGUCCUGAGGGAGAAAGUGGGGGAUCUUCGGACCUCACGCUAUCAGAUAAGCCUAGGUCGGAUUAGCUAGUUGGUGGGGUAAAGGCCUACCAAGGCGACGAUCCGUAACUGGUCUGAGAGGAUGAUCAGUCACACUGGAACUGAGACACGGUCCAGACUCCUACGGGAGGCAGCAGUGGGGAAUAUUGGACAAUGGGCGAAAGCCUGAUCCAGCCAUGCCGCGUGUGUGAAGAAGGUCUUCGGAUUGUAAAGCACUUUAAGUUGGGAGGAAGGGCAGUAAGUUAAUACCUUGCUGUUUUGACGUUACCAACAGAAUAAGCACCGGCUAACUUCGUG